UGAGGAACAUGACCUUCGGCGGGGGAUAACCGGCCCAACGGCCGGGUAAUACCGCGUACGACCACAUGGGGACAUCCCUGAGUGGUGAAAGCAGCAAUGCGCCGAAAGAGUGCCUCGCGGCCUAUCAGCUAGUUGGUGGGGUAACGCUCACCAAGGCAACGACGGGUAGCUGGUCUGAGAGGAUGGCCAGCCANAGUUGGGACUGAGAUACCGGCCCAGACCUCCGUAGGGAGNAGCG
Molecule: ribosomal RNA, 238 nt
Filed under: uncultured bacterium
Lineage: Bacteria
Description: partial 16S ribosomal RNA
Rfam family: Bacterial small subunit ribosomal RNA
Source: RNAcentral